Molecule: long non-coding RNA, 1077 nt
Organism: Choloepus didactylus (southern two-toed sloth)
Lineage: Eukaryota; Metazoa; Chordata; Mammalia; Pilosa; Megalonychidae
Exons: 6
Source: RefSeq, a predicted model, not a curated record
GGCGGCUCGCGAGGCUCUUCCUCCCUCCCUUCAGCGCCGGGCACUUCCGGGCAUGCCCGAUCCGCCGCCGAAUUUUGGGAGUUGCCGCUGCCUCCUGACACUGCGCGCCCGGUCUAGUGGGCUAGGUAUGCAGGAACGCUCUAGGGAGGGAAUAGGAGGGCCCUGGCCUUGCGGGGACCCUUCACUGGUCCAGCUUAAAACUUUUCUGGCCUAAAAGCCCACUGAUGAUGUACCUCCUAACUGGUCUAGUCCACGAAGGGUACAAAAGACUGCAACCGUUUCCGCGCAAGAUUUUCUUGGGGCUACACCAGUCUGGAAAGCCGAAGUACAAUUUUUACUGAACACAUGCUGCGAGCCCAGAACUGUACGAACUGCCAAAACAAAAACAGCACUAUAGAGUCGCCAACAGGAAAUGAAGAGAACAGUUCGGGCAGACAGGUGAAGUUCCACAGUGGAGCAGUUUGCAGCCGGACGAAGUGAGCCGCGCCCCAGGCCUAGGAAAGGAGGGGGCGGCCGGGGAUUCUUGGAGAGCACAGAAGAGCCGGAUGCAUCCCAGGACUGGACGUUGGUGCUCAUUAGAGAAGGCCUUGGGCAUUUUCAGUUGUCAGCACUGACCCAAGCAAGGGUAGAGGUAUGGUGGUUCCCUUCCAUGAAUUCCUAAGAACCCAGCAUUGGAGUGCUGCCCUCAUCCUCAUCACUGAAGAUAGCGGCAUGAUGUUUACAGCAGGAGGAUGGCAGAAGGAACAAAGAAGAAGAAACCUAAGGGAGAGCAGAAACUCCUCCCUGGGGGAGAGUGAACACCUAAUGCCACUCUCUCUGGGGCCACCAUUGCCACUCAGUGGACUCAGAAAUCAACCAUCGAUGGCAAUAUGUUCCCUCCUGCCAUGGAUCUCAGUUGAUUUGUCUCAACAAAAAUAGCUCCGUCCAAAGGAACUGCCUUUAUUCCGAUGAGGAACAACUCAGGCUAUUGCUUCCACAGGAACCCAGCUCUAUCCAAGAUCUGAGAAUACCUCAGCUAAGAACAAGCACAGGCUCCAUGCUUUCUCACCACUCCCUGGCUGCCCUCCUGAAGUUGCC